GAGAGGAGUGAGAGUCGGCCAAAGACAGCAGGGAGGGCGGGGUCAAGAUGCCACCUGGCCGAUGGACCCCGGGAAGCUGCAUGGAUCUCAAAUGGGCCAAGGGCCCCGGGCUUGGAAGGGCAGGUGGCGCCUAGACCCAGCGUUCCCGCUCCACAGGUCUCCAGGAGUUCGCCCGGCGUUUCCUCUGCAGCGGGUGCUACUCUAGGGUCUGCGACCUCCCGCUGGACUGCCCAGUUCAGGAUGUGACAGUGACUCGGGGCGACCAGGCUAUGUUUUCUUGCAUCGUAAACUUCCAGCUGCCAAAGGAGGAGAUCACCUAUUCCUGGAAGUUCGCAGGAGGAGCUCCGGACUCAGGACUUGUCCUAUUUCCGAGAUAUGCCGCGGGCCGAAGGAUACCUGGCGCGGAUCCGGCCGGCUCAGCUCACGCACCGCGGGACGUUCUCCUGCGUGAUCAAGCAAGACCAGCGCCCCCUGGCCCGGCUCUACUUCUUUCUUAACGGUGGGGCGGGGCGCGGCGGCGUGAGUGAGCGGGGUGGGGAGAGGGGUGGGGCUCGUGCCUGGCUGACGUGCGCGCCCCCGCAGUGACGGGACCGCCCCCGCGGGCGGAGACAGAGUUGCAGGCCUCGUUCCGGGAAGUGCUGCGCUGGGCGCCGCGGGAUGCCGAGCUGAUCGAGCCCUGGAGGCCCAGCCUGGGCGAGCUGCUGGCCAGGCCCGAGGCUCUGACGCCCAGCAACCUGUUCCUGAUUGCAGUCCUCGGGGCCCUCGCAUCAGCGAGUGCGACAGUGUUGGCGUGGUGAGUUCUGGGGACUCCGGAGCCCCAGCAUCUAGCCCCCUCCUCCCUCAGAUCUAAGAGUCCAGGCCCCCAGGUUCCUCCUCCCUGAGACCCAGAAGCCCAGGCCCCAGCCCCUCCUCCUUCAGACCCAGGUGUCCAGGACCCCAGCCCCUUCCUCCCUCAGACCCAGGUUUCCAUCCAGGCCCCUGGCCCCUCCUCCCUCAGACCCAGGAAUCCAGGCCCCCAGUCCUUCCACCCGCAGACCCAGAAAUCCAAGCCCCCAGCCCCCUCCUCCCUCAGACCCAGGUUUCCAUCCAGGCCCCGGACCCUCCUCCCUCAGACCCAGGAGUCCAGGCCCCAGCCUUCUACUCCCUCAGACCCAGGUUUCCAUCCAGGCCCCCAGGCCCCCUCCUCCCUCAGACCCAGGAGUCCAGGUCCCCAGCCCCUCCUCCCUCAGAUCCAAGAGUCCAGACCCCCAAGUUUCUCUUCCUUCAGACCCAAAAGCCCAGGCCCCCUGCCCCCUCCUCCCUCAGACCUAGGAGUCUGGGCUCCCAGCCCCCUCGUCCCUCAGACCCAGGAGUCGGGGCCGCCAUCCCCUCCUCCCUCAGAACCAGGAGUCCGGGCCC
Molecule: small RNA, 1398 nt
Filed under: Pan troglodytes (chimpanzee)
Lineage: Eukaryota; Metazoa; Chordata; Mammalia; Primates; Hominidae
Description: retained intron
Source: RNAcentral